This 833-nucleotide long non-coding RNA is filed under the name Homo sapiens (human). RNAcentral's name for it is "HSALNT0200795". The record is from RNAcentral. Lineage: Eukaryota; Metazoa; Chordata; Mammalia; Primates; Hominidae.
GUGGAUUGGGACACUGGUGCUGGCACCCACUUGCUUAUUUGCUGAGGCUUUUUGGUCCUUCUUGUUCCUCAGAGAAAGUGUGUUUGCUUCAAAACAGGUUACCAAGCAACGGCUUCAGGCAAAUCACCUCAGAUCUGCUCUCCAUUCCCCCAGGGUUGUGGGGGUCCGAAGCACAAGCAGAUGUCUGGAGGGAGCUAUUACUCACAUCCUCCCCUUCUUAAUUUCCCCUUCUUAAUUUCGCUCGGUGGCAGUAGCAGCAGUCACAGACCAAUCUCUAUCACUUCAGGAAAGAAGGGGGCAGAAACAGGUAAGAAACUGGCAAUAAAAGGGCAAUAGGAAGAAAGCUUUAAUCUAAGCCUUUGCCAACUGUGGUGAGGACAAACCCACUCUGUUUUGUUCAAAAGGUAUUCUUUGGAAGGAAAAAAAAAUUAGAUAUGUUGAAAGGAAAGAACAUUAAAAAGGGAUUCUGGUGUUUUUAUCCAGAUCACUCAGCCUCUAGUUCUGAAAUUCUCCUAAGAGCUCUUGCUAGAAGUCAGAGUUCCUUCAACAGAAAAGAAGAAAAGAAAAAAAUUAAGGGGGAAGUGGUGAGAUAAUUAGGUAGGAACACACGCUUAUAAGUUCUAUCCCCAAAAUACAGAGUGUGAAUAAUUAUAUAAGGAGAUGAAAUAUGAGUAAAUAUGGAUAUUACAACCUUCUUUGAAAUUAGGCCUUAUACUGUUUAAUGUCAUUUUAAUAAUCUUGUGGUUUAUUCUAUAAUGUAUUUUCCAAAUUGCUGUAGAAAGCCUGAAGGCACAUGUACAAUGAAAUCAUUCAGCAAAGUUUUUUAAACAAUU